RNAcentral lists this ribosomal RNA (874 nucleotides) under Weissella koreensis. RNAcentral's name for it is "bacterial SSU rRNA". It matches the Rfam family "Bacterial small subunit ribosomal RNA", at positions 60 to 887 of the family's 1533-position model. Lineage: Bacteria; Bacillati; Bacillota; Bacilli; Lactobacillales; Lactobacillaceae. The record is from RNAcentral.
AGUCGACGCUUGUGUGGUUCAACUGAUUUGAAGAGCUUGCUCAGAUAUGACGAUGGACAUUGCAAAGAGUGGCGAACGGGUGAGUAACACGUGGGAAACCUACCUCUUAGCAGGGGAUAACAUUUGGAAACAGAUGCUAAUACCGUAUAACAAUGACAACCGCAUGGUUGUUAUUUAAAAGAUGGUUCUGCUAUCACUAAGAGAUGGUCCCGCGGUGCAUUAGCUAGUUGGUAAGGUAAUGGCUUACCAAGGCGAUGAUGCAUAGCCGAGUUGAGAGACUGAUCGGCCACAAUGGGACUGAGACACGGCCCAUACUCCUACGGGAGGCAGCAGUAGGGAAUCUUCCACAAUGGGCGAAAGCCUGAUGGAGCAACGCCGCGUGUGUGAUGAAGGGUUUCGGCUCGUAAAACACUGUUGUAAGAGAAGAAUGACAUUGAGAGUAACUGUUCAAUGUGUGACGGUAUCUUACCAGAAAGGAACGGCUAAAUACGUGCCAGCAGCCGCGGUAAUACGUAUGUUCCAAGCGUUAUCCGGAUUUAUUGGGCGUAAAGCGAGCGCAGACGGUUAUUUAAGUCUGAAGUGAAAGCCCUCAGCUCAACUGAGGAAUUGCUUUGGAAACUGGAUGACUUGAGUGCAGUAGAGGAAAGUGGAACUCCAUGUGUAGCGGUGAAAUGCGUAGAUAUAUGGAAGAACACCAGUGGCGAAGGCGGCUUUCUGGACUGUAACUGACGUUGAGGCUCGAAAGUGUGGGUAGCAAACAGGAUUAGAUACCCUGGUAGUCCACACCGUAAACGAUGAGUGCUAGGUGUUUGAGGGUUUCCGCCCUUAAGUGCCGCAGCUAACGCAUUAAGCACUCCGCCUGGGGAGUACGACC